UCUGGUAAUAAUGGCGGAGGGGUCACACCUGUUCCCAUACCGAACACAGCAGUUAAGCCCUCCAGCGUCGAUGGUACUUGGACCGCAGGGUCCUGGGAGAGUAGAACAUUGCCAGGC
Molecule: ribosomal RNA, 117 nt
Filed under: Clostridia bacterium
Lineage: Bacteria; Bacillati; Bacillota; Clostridia
Source: RNAcentral